Long non-coding RNA from Pipistrellus kuhlii (Kuhl's pipistrelle), 370 nucleotides. RefSeq lists it as uncharacterized. The transcript has 2 exons. The record is from RefSeq and is a predicted model, not a curated record. NCBI's taxonomy places the organism in Eukaryota, Metazoa, Chordata, Mammalia, Chiroptera, Vespertilionidae.
GGUUUUGCCAAUUUCCCUGACUUUCAAGAAUAUGGCUUCUGCUAUAAAAUAAGGGAUUAUUUAAACCAUAUUAGCUAAGAUUUACUGAGCAUUCACUGUGAAAAAUGGUUCAUGCACAUUAUUUUAUUUAAUUCUUAUAGCACUCCAGCCCACAGGCUCCAGACCCAGCAGUCAGCCCUAGUGGCUCAUCCUAGCCAGUAGUCCCCACCUAGAGGAGACAGCCAAGGAUUUCAUUUCAUUAGCAGUGGCACUUAAAUAUUCGUGAAAUUUAAAAAUGGUAACUGCAGUUCCAAUUCAUGGAUCGUCAAAGAAAGCAGAGAACAUAGGAUUUACAAAAGGUACAGGUUUGGCAGAUUUAAAGCCUGAUAGU